Molecule: unclassified non-coding RNA, 200 nt
Filed under: Sordariomycetes sp.
Lineage: Eukaryota; Fungi; Ascomycota; Sordariomycetes
Description: partial internal transcribed spacer 2
Source: RNAcentral
UUAAGUUCAGCGGGUAUUCCUACCUGAUCCGAGGUCAACUUUUUGGGAGUAGCGCUAUUGGCGCUAUGGGGCGGGAGGCAGAACCGCGCCACGGCCGCCGGAGCGUUAAAGUUAGGUAACUACUGCGCUCAGGGCCGCGGCGGAUCCGCCGCUAGAUUUGGGGGCCUGCGGGAGGGCCGCAGCGCCCCAACGCCAGACAC